ACCCAAUAGAUACCCGGGUAGUCCACGCCCUAAACGAUGUCAACUGGUUGUCGGGGAAGUUAUUCCUUGGUAACGAAAGCUAAACGCGUGAAAGUUGACCGCCUGGGGAGUACGGCCGCAAGGUUAAAACUCAAAGGAAUUGACGGGGACCCGCACAAGCGGUGGAUUAUGUGGAUUAAUUCGAUGCAACGCGAAAAACCUUACCUACCCUUGACUUGUCAGGAAUCCCGCAGAGAUGUGGGAGUGCCCGAAAGGGAACCUGAACACAGGUGCUGCAUGGCUGUCGUCAGCUCGUGUCGUGAGAUGUUGGGUUAAGUCCCGCAACGAGCGCAACCCUUGCCAUUAGUUGCCACAUUCAGUUGGGCACUCUAAUGGGACUGCCGGUGACAAACCGGAGGAAGGUGGGGAUGACGUCAAGUCCUCAUGGCCCUUAUGGGUAGGGCUUCACACGUAAUACAAUGGCCGGUACAGAGGGCUGCCAACCCGCGAGGGGGAGCAAAUCCCAGAAAGCCGGUCGUAGUCCAGAUUGUUCUCUGCAACUCGAGAGCAUGAAGUCGGAA
RNAcentral lists this ribosomal RNA (560 nucleotides) under uncultured bacterium. RNAcentral describes it as "bacterial SSU rRNA". It matches the Rfam family "Bacterial small subunit ribosomal RNA", at positions 772 to 1331 of the family's 1533-position model. The record is from RNAcentral.